UGGGGAAUCUUAGACAAUGGGCGCAAGCCUGAUCUAGCCAUGCCGCGUGAGUGAUGAAGGCCUUAGGGCCGUAAAGCUCUUUCGCUGGGGAAGAUAAUGACGGUACCCAGUAAAGAAACCCCGGCUAACUCCGUGCCAGCAGCCGCGGUAAUACGGAGGGGGUUAGCGUUGUUCGGAAUUACUGGGCGUAAAGCGCGCGUAGGCGGAUCAGAAAGUAGGGGGUGAAAUCCCAGGGCUCAACCCUGGAAU
Molecule: ribosomal RNA, 249 nt
Filed under: uncultured Anaerospora sp.
Lineage: Bacteria; Bacillati; Bacillota; Negativicutes; Selenomonadales; Sporomusaceae
Description: partial 16S ribosomal RNA
Rfam family: Bacterial small subunit ribosomal RNA
Source: RNAcentral